RNAcentral lists this ribosomal RNA (253 nucleotides) under uncultured bacterium. RNAcentral's name for it is "partial 16S ribosomal RNA". It matches the Rfam family "Bacterial small subunit ribosomal RNA", at positions 524 to 776 of the family's 1533-position model. The record is from RNAcentral.
UACGUAGGGUGCGAGCGUUAAUCGGAAUUACUGGGCGUAAAGCGUGCGCAGGCGGUUUGUUAAGACAGGCGUGAAAUCCCCGGGCUCAACCUGGGAACUGCGCUUGUGACUGGCAGGCUAGAGUACGGCAGAGGGGGGUGGAAUUCCACGUGUAGCAGUGAAAUGCGCAGAUAUCGGGAAGAACACCCGUGGCGAAGGCGGCUCUCUGGGACGGUACUGACGCUGAGACGCGAAAGCGUGGGGAGCGAACAGG